GACGUAGGAUGCAAGCGUUGUCCGGAAUUAUUGGGCGUAAAGAGUUCGUAGGCGGUUACUUAAGUCUGGUGUUAAAGACGGGAGCUCAACUCCCGCAUGGCAUCGGAAACUGGGUGGCUAGAGUGUGGUAGAGGUCUCGGGAAUUCCAGGUGUAGCGGUGAAAUUCGUAGAUAUCGGGAGGAACACCAGUGGCGAAGGCGGCUCUCUGGGCAGAUACUGACGCUGAGACGCGAAAGCAUGGGGAGCAAACAGG
Molecule: ribosomal RNA, 253 nt
Filed under: uncultured bacterium
Lineage: Bacteria
Description: partial 16S ribosomal RNA
Rfam family: Bacterial small subunit ribosomal RNA
Source: RNAcentral